CCUACGGGAGGCAGCAGUGGGGAAUAUUGGGCAAUGGGCGCAAGCCUGACCCAGCAACGCCGCGUGAAGGAAGAAGGCUUUCGGGUUGUAAACUUCUUUUGUCAGGGACGAAGCAAGUGACGGUACCUGACGAAUAAGCCACGGCUAAUUACGUCCCAGCAGCCGCGGUAAUACGUGGGUGGAAAGCGUUAUCCGCAUUUACUGGGGUGAAAGGGCGUGUAGGCGGGGCAGCAAGUCAGAUGUGAAACCCACGGGCGCAACCUGUGGCCUGCAUUUGAAACUUGUUUUCUUGGGUGCUGGAGAGGCGAACGGAAUUCCGGGUGGUGCGGUGGAAUGCGUAGAUAUACGGAGGAACACCAGUGGCGAAGGCGGAUUGCUGGACAGUAACUGACGCUGAGGCGCGAAAGCGUGGGGAGCAAACAGGAUUAGAUACCCUUGUAGUC
RNAcentral lists this ribosomal RNA (443 nucleotides) under uncultured bacterium. RNAcentral describes it as "partial 16S ribosomal RNA". It matches the Rfam family "Bacterial small subunit ribosomal RNA", at positions 338 to 795 of the family's 1533-position model. The record is from RNAcentral.